UACAGAGGGUGCGAGCGUUGUCCGGAAUCACUGGGCGUAAAGGGCGCGUAGGCGGCCUGAUAAGUAGGGGGUGAAAUCCUGUGGCUUAACUGCAGGGCUGCCUCCUAGACUGUUAGGCUCGAGCACGGUAGAGGCAGAUGGAAUUCCCGGUGUAGCGGUGGAAUGCGUAGAGAUCGGGAAGAACAUCGGUGGCGAAGGCGGCCUGCUGGGCUGUUGCUGACGCUGAGGCGCGACAGCGUGGGGAGCAAACAGG
This 253-nucleotide ribosomal RNA is filed under the name uncultured bacterium. Its description in RNAcentral is "partial 16S ribosomal RNA". It matches the Rfam family "Bacterial small subunit ribosomal RNA", at positions 524 to 776 of the family's 1533-position model. The record is from RNAcentral.